Molecule: ribosomal RNA, 253 nt
Filed under: uncultured bacterium
Lineage: Bacteria
Description: partial 16S ribosomal RNA
Rfam family: Bacterial small subunit ribosomal RNA
Source: RNAcentral
UACGUAGGGCGCAAGCGUUGUCCGGAAUUAUUGGGCGUAAAGAGCUCGUAGGCGGUCUGUCGCGUCUGUUGUGAAAACUCGAGGCUCAACCUCGGGCUUGCAGUGGAUACGGGCAGACUAGAGUGCGGUAGGGGAGACUGGAAUUCCUGGUGUAGCGGUGGAAUGCGCAGAUAUCAGGAGGAACACCGAUGGCGAAGGCAGGUCUCUGGGCCGCAACUGACGCUGAGGCGCGAAGGCGUGGGGAGCGAACAGG